This 493-nucleotide long non-coding RNA is filed under the name Capra hircus (goat). Its description in RNAcentral is "lncRNA (ENSCHIG00000002187.1)". Lineage: Eukaryota; Metazoa; Chordata; Mammalia; Artiodactyla; Bovidae. The record is from RNAcentral.
ACUUCAGGGAGCUCCACCAUAUUCCACCCUCUUUCCCACUGCUCCUCCUUGGGCGCUCUGCCGACUUCACUGACCUUUAUCAAUUUCCUCUCUUCUCCAGACGCUUUGGAUUGCUCAACAGUGUUGUGGACACUGGAGUCAACCUUGCGAGAAGUGUGGUGUCCUCUGUAGUGCAGGAUGAGCUGUGCCCACGAUUCCGCGAGCUCCUUGAAAGCCUGGAUGCAGAGUGUGUUAAGAAACUCAUCGGUGAACCUCAGGACACCCAGGAUGAAACUGGAGACGGCAGAUGAGGAAACCACUGGGAUGCCCGCCUGCUGACUCCAGGACUUAAGUGAAUCUCUGUACCGUCUCCCUCUGGAACAGUCAGUGCUGCCACCAUCCCCCAGGAGUGACAACUGAGCCCAGUCAAAGGACACCUCUCAGACCCUCGUGCUCACAGUCAGGACAUCCUGUGCUUAUCACCCUCCACCCCCAGCAAUAAAAAGCCCUUUCA